RNAcentral lists this small RNA (1065 nucleotides) under Pan troglodytes (chimpanzee). RNAcentral describes it as "retained intron". The record is from RNAcentral. Lineage: Eukaryota; Metazoa; Chordata; Mammalia; Primates; Hominidae.
CCAGCUUCUACUCAGAGCUCUUCACGCUCUACCUGCUGCUUCAUGAGCGGGAGGACAGCUUCUACAGCCAGGGCAUUGCCAACUUGAGCCUCUUUCCUGAUACCCAACUGCUCGAGUUCCUGGAUGUGCAGAAGCACUUGUGGCCCCUCAAGGACCUCACGCUGACGAGCAAUCAGAGGUACUCCCUGGUCAGGGACAAGUGUUUCCUGUCAGCCACCGAGUGCCUGCAGAAGAUCAUGACCACGGUGGACCCACGGGAGAAGCUGGAGGUGCUGGAGAGGACAUACGGGGAAAUUGAGGGCACGGUGUCGAGGGUGCUGGGCCGGGAGUACAAGCUGCCCAUGGACGACCUGCUGCCACUUCUCAUCUACGUGGUGUCGCGCGCCCGGUGAGGCAGACAGGAGCUGGGGGUGCAGGGCAGGGGAAGGGUCCCACCCCCAACCACGAUAUCUUCUGAUACCUCUGAACCCCAGGGUUUAUGGAUGCAGCUUCUCUCUGUACAGAUGGGGAAGCCAAGGCCCAGAAAAGGGAGGGUCCCAGCCAGGGUGCUGGGGUGCUAGAGGUAGAGUGAGGACCACACCCCAGGUGUCCAGCCAUCCAGGCCAGCGCUCCUUCCCCAGCUGCCUGUCCGCGACAGCCCUCUUCUCCUUGUCUCCCUCGCUCUCUUGGUGGGGCGGUGUUCUCCAGAAUUCAGCACCUGGGAGCCGAGAUCCACCUGAUCCGUGACAUGAUGGACCCCAACCACACAGGAGGCCUGUAUGACUUCCUGCUCACAGCCCUGGAGUCCUGUUACGAGCACAUCCAGAAAGAAGACAUGAGGCUGCACCGCUUACCUGGCCACUGGCACUCCAGGGAGCUCUGGUAGCCUGGCCUUUCCUGGACAGACUGCAGAGCUGAGCAGGGCACUGCCAGCCUGUCCCUCAUUACCCAAGGCAAGGGGCAGGAGAGGCCCUCGGAAGCAGCUCUUGGAGGAGAUGAGCAUUUUGUUUUGCACAGGAAGAUGCUGCUGCUGCCCUGACUGGGAUGAGGGUGAGGGGUGACGGGUGUGGCCCUGGAUGUGGUGGU